GUAGUCCACGCCGUAAACUAUGGAUGCUAGCUGUUAGAGGUAUCGACCCCUCUAGUAGCGAAGCUAACGCGUUAAGCAUCCCGCCUGUGGAGUACGGUCGCAAGACUAAAACAUAAAGGAAUUGACGGGGACCCGCACAAGCGGUGGAGCGUGUUGUUUAAUUCGAUGGUAAGCGAAGAACCUUACCCAGGUUUGACAUCCCGAGAAUCUUUCCGAAAGGAAGGAGUGCAUUUUUGAACUCGGUGACAGGUGUUGCAUGGCCGUCGUCAGCUCGUGUCGUGAGAUGUUUGGUUAAGUCCAUCAACGAGCGCAACCCUUGUGAUUAGUUGAAUUUUUCUAAUCAGACUGCCCUGGCAACAGGGA
RNAcentral lists this ribosomal RNA (363 nucleotides) under uncultured bacterium. Its description in RNAcentral is "bacterial SSU rRNA". It matches the Rfam family "Bacterial small subunit ribosomal RNA", at positions 790 to 1167 of the family's 1533-position model. The record is from RNAcentral.